GGAAGGAUCAUUCGCACUUCGAAUAUCAAACACUGUGUAAUCGAUUGUAGGGAAAUCUCAAGAUGAGAUAUGCCUUUGCAGUCCGUGAUGAUACCAGAUCACUUCGUCUAACGAAGAUUGGUCACUGUGUUAGCAAACUUCUGGGUCUGCUUUCGCUGGUUGAUUCUCCCGGCAUUUCGGUGCCACUUUUAUUCGUAAUUAACGGUAACAUGGGUUUUAAGUCAAUGACGAAAGUCAAUGGGGUUAGACCUAGCACAAUAAAGUCAACAACGAGACUCUAAGCGAUGGAUGCCUCGGCUCGGAGAUCGAUGAAGGACGCAGCGAAAUGCGAAAUGCAUUGCGAAUUGCAGAAUUCCGUGAGUCAAUAGAUUUCCUAACGCGUAUUGCGCCAUCGUGGGGUUCCUUACGAUGGCACAUCUGCCUCAGUGUUGUUGUUCACACUUUCCUAUAUUUGGAGAGUUUCUUGCGCCGAGUUCAUCUCAGGCGUGUGUUGUGCGCUAAUUUAUUAGUGUGCUCUUGCAUAAAUCAAAGUAGGCUCGGCAAUGUCGGAACUUAUACAUUAGUGACGCAUGUCGUUCUAUUCCAUCUAGGUGAUAGGAACUGAUGUGGCUUCGGCUCUCUUUUCUCUUGAACCAAUUUGCGAAUUUAAUGACAGUUGCUAUUGCGAGUGAUGCGUGCCUCCUACUUUACAACCGAACACUCUUGACCUGAGGUUGGUGAGACUACCCGCUGAAUUUAAGCAUAUUAUUAGGCGGAGGAAAGGAAACUAACCAGGAUUCCCCCAGUAACGGCGAGUGAACAGGGAUGAGCCCAUCACCGAAUCGGGUCUUGCUUGCAUUUCGGUGCAAUGCGAGGUCGGAAAUGUGGUUGAUGAGGGAAAGCCAGGUGUGCAAUUGGCGUUAAGUCCCCUGGAACGGGGUAUCAGAGAGGGUGAGAGUCCCGUCUGUUCGCCGAUCAGCGCAUCGUACGGCUUUUUCUCUUGGGAGUCGCGCUCCUUGGAAGUGGAGCGCAAAUGGGUGGUACAUUUCAUCCAAGGCUAAAUAUUGCUCCGAGACCGAUAGCGAACAAGUACCGUGAGGGAAAGGUGAAAAGGACUUUGAAAAGAGAGUUAAAUAGUGCCUGAAAUCGCUUAGGGGGAAGCGAAUGAGGCCUAUUCGUUCUGCUUGGAGUUCGCUCUAAGUUGAAGUCGAUGUCAGUCCUGGAUAUAGUGAAAAGCGGUCGCGUUAGUCAGUUUGGGCAGCUUGCUGUUCCUUACGGUGGUGCGUGACAUGUCUUCUGCUAGUGGUCCGAACUGAGGAACCUGCGCUUGCUUGUUCUACUCUGGGUUAGUGUUGUGUUGCAAUUGUGGUUAUGGCCUCUCGGUUCAUGUCUAUAAUUGUCGGUGCUGCGCGCUCUUAGUACAGGUGAGUUGAGGAUAUCGGCGAUUUAUGAAUGGCCGCAUUCGACCCGUCUUGAAACACGGACCAAGGAGUCUAACGUGUGCGCGAGUAUGGGGGUGCUAAAACCCUCGGGCGUAAUGAAAGUGAGAUUUAUUCUACGUGUUGGUCGCUCUUCUUCGGAAGAGCUUCUCCAAUAGCCGACCUUGAUCUUCGGUGAGAGGUUUGAGUCCGAGCGUACCCGUUAGGACCCGAAAGGUGGUGAACUAUGCCUGAGUAGGGUGAAGCCAGGGGAAACUCUGGUGGAGGCUCGUAGCGAUACUGACGUGCAAAUCGUUCGUCGAACUUGGGUAUAGGGGCGAAAGACUAAUCGAACCACCUAGUAGCUGGUUCCCUC
Molecule: unclassified non-coding RNA, 1773 nt
Filed under: uncultured fungus
Lineage: Eukaryota; Fungi
Description: sequence contains 18S rRNA gene, ITS1, 5.8S rRNA gene, ITS2, 28S rRNA gene
Rfam family: Eukaryotic large subunit ribosomal RNA (bases 704-1773)
Source: RNAcentral